This 546-nucleotide long non-coding RNA is filed under the name Salvia miltiorrhiza (redroot sage). RNAcentral's name for it is "long non-coding RNA (SMIL_LNC000484)". Lineage: Eukaryota; Viridiplantae; Streptophyta; Magnoliopsida; Lamiales; Lamiaceae. The record is from RNAcentral.
AAGCAGGCAUCUCUCGCGCGGCGGAGCUGCCGCAGACCUCGCAGCCCCGAUCGGUGCUGUUUUCUUCUCCAAAGGGGAAGAUCGAGGAGGCUGCUAAUCUUCCGGUCUACAAGCGGAGUUCUGCCGUCGGGAAGAAGGAGAAUUUGAAAUCUCGAUUGCCGGAGAAGCUGGUUCAUCUCAUCCCUCUCGUGGUGCUCCUCUGCUUCUUCAUCCUCUGGUGGUUUUCUUACUCCGGUACGAUUCAACGACGUUAACUGACUGUUGAUUUCUGCAGUUUCUGGUGUGCGUGUGAGGUUUUCUCUAGGCUGCGGAAACGCACGAAUAAGGAAGGGUUUUUUCAAUCUUCUUUCUCGGGAAAAAUUUGUACAAAUCGUGUUGUCUAAUUCAAGCGAUUCGUUUGGCUGUAUAGCAAAUCCAUGAAUUGCAGAGAUCUUGUUCGAACAUAAAGUAAACAGGAAUAACAUGGUUUUCCAGAUCUUCAGAGUCUCUGUAAGGAAAAUUCACAGUUUAACUAGUUGUGGUUCAUUGUUUGUGUAUCAAAACCAG